RNAcentral lists this ribosomal RNA (266 nucleotides) under uncultured prokaryote. RNAcentral's name for it is "partial 16S ribosomal RNA". It matches the Rfam family "Bacterial small subunit ribosomal RNA", at positions 524 to 789 of the family's 1533-position model. The record is from RNAcentral.
UACGUAGGUGGCAAGCGUUGUCCGGAUUUAUUGGGCGUAAAGCGAGCGCAGGCGGUUCCUUAAGUCUGAUGUGAAAGCCCACGGCUCAACCGUGGAAGGUCAUUGGAAACUGGGGAACUUGAGUGCAGAAGAGGAGAGUGGAAUUCCAUGUGUAGCGGUGAAAUGCGUAGAGAUAUGGAGGAACACCAGUGGCGAAGGCGGCUUCCUGGUCUGUAACUGACACUGAGGCGCGAAAGCGUGGGGAGCAAACAGGAUUAGAUACCCGU